CCUACGGGCUGCAGCAGUGGGGAAUAUUGCACAAUGGGGGAAACCCUGAUGCAGCGACGCCGCGUGAGUGAAGAAGUAUCUCGGUACGUAAAGCUCUAUCAGCAGGGAAGAAAAUGACGGUACCUGAAGAAAAAGCAUCGGCUAACUCCGUGCCAGCAGCCGCGGCAAUACGGAGGAUGCGAGCGUUAUCCGGAUUUAUUGGGUUUAAAGGGUGCGUAGGCGGAAUAUCAAGUCAGCGGUAAAAAUUCGGGGCUCAACCCCGUCGUGCCGUUGAAACUGAUGUUCUUGAGUGGGCGAGAAGUAUGCGGAAUGCGUGAUGUAGCGGUGAAAUGCAUAGAUAUCACGCAGAACUCCGAUUGCGAAGGCAGCAUACCGGCGCCCAACUGACGCUGAAGCACGAAAGCGUGGGUAUCGAACAGGAUUAGAUACCCUAGUAGUC
This 439-nucleotide ribosomal RNA is filed under the name uncultured bacterium. RNAcentral describes it as "partial 16S ribosomal RNA". It matches the Rfam family "Bacterial small subunit ribosomal RNA", at positions 338 to 795 of the family's 1533-position model. The record is from RNAcentral.